GAUAGUUUCUCAGACCAUGGUGCUUUAAUGCUUAAUAGGGAAUCUCGUUGGAAUCGAGAGUGGUCCCGCCGCUGUGUUCGGGGACGAACGCCGAAAUAAACCACUUUGGUACAGUAUUAUCAUGGGAAGGUUCGGCUAUUAGGAUGAUCCGUAAGCCAGAAGACCUGCCAUGAUGAUUUAUCGUUA
This 186-nucleotide non-coding RNA is filed under the name Desulfamplus magnetovallimortis. The record is from RNAcentral. Lineage: Bacteria; Pseudomonadati; Thermodesulfobacteriota; Desulfobacteria; Desulfobacterales; Desulfobacteraceae.